UCAGGUAUUAAGAGGUUGCAGACAAUGGA
Molecule: non-coding RNA, 29 nt
Filed under: Mus musculus (house mouse)
Lineage: Eukaryota; Metazoa; Chordata; Mammalia; Rodentia; Muridae
Source: RNAcentral